This is an RNA transcript of Triticum aestivum (bread wheat), 2098 nucleotides long. RefSeq lists it as uncharacterized. NCBI's taxonomy places the organism in Eukaryota, Viridiplantae, Streptophyta, Magnoliopsida, Poales, Poaceae. The transcript has 7 exons. The record is from RefSeq and is a predicted model, not a curated record.
GCUUGAGCUGCUGCUCGUCCCACAAGGCCAGAGACUCCUCGUCGUCGUCAUCAGGGGGGGCCGUCGUUCAGCCGCUCGAGAGUCGAUCUCGUUGGAGAGCUUGUCGUCGUCCCAGUCGAGGCCUUGGAUUUGCUCUUGGCCGCCGGAAGAAUGCCUAGCGGUGUCCACCCGUGCAGUGCUGCCGAGAUCGACUGGAGUGGGUGUGUUUUGGAUCUUGGUUCUCUUGUCACCUGAUCCUCGCGAGCUGCUGGAGCAGCCAUUCUCCAUCUCCAAUCCAAACCCUAGCCUGUCCUGCCAUUCUCCAUUUUUUUUUUGAGAAAUGUUUCAGCAGAAAAGAUGCAAGUUUUCUCUCGUCUCGGCCUUCGCCCGUUGUCAGUCAGAGACACCGCCCCUUCUGCCCCCUCCUCUCCGGCGACCCCUUGAAAAAAAAAACCUGCUCUCCGGCGGUUCUCCCCCGCUCCCAAACGCCGCUGUCCAGUCUCGCCCGGGCCCGAUGGAUCGUCGGAGGGUUCGACGCUUAGGGGCUGCCAUGCACCCCCUCCUCGCAGCUGCGGCCAGUGACGGUGCCACUCCCAGCACCGCCGCCGCCUCUCAAACCCGCGGCGGGAGCUCCGCAAGUGCCGUCAGGCUCGACGUCGAAGCUGACAUCGACCAGGGGACAUCAUACUUUGCUGAUGAGCAGCACAAGAGGGUGGCAUCUGGGAGCUCUUCAGCGAGGCUCAGCGGAGUAACUAAUUGACCUAUCCCUUGUUUCACUCAAAUCUAGUGUUGCUGUGGGUUAAUGACUGAAUGUGUGCUAGUUUCUGCUAUGACAUGCCAACAAUUCUCAGUUACAAUAAUGCAUUCACAUUGCUUUGUCGUUUGGAAAGGCAAUAUGACGUGAAAAACUUUCCUGUCAUCAGACAAUAAGUAGUAUGAACCAGAAUGUAUAUCCUAAAAAAGGAACCAGAAUGUGAAAUUCCAUGAUCUUGAGCAGUUCAAGGCUGCUUGGUAUUGCUAUCUUUAGAUGGGAAAGUAAAACACAUAUGUAAAAUUGCAAGCAUGAGUACAGAUGAAUUUUCCAAGUAAUGGAUCCAGGUAAAAGCCACAAACUAAAGUUCCUCCUUUGAUAUUUUUCUCACAAACACGUGUCUAAACGUGUGUCAUUUUAUAUUAGAAGAAACACCAGGAAGGCGUGAAGAGUACAGAAGAACUAGGCUACAACAGACUGUACAGAAGAAUUAGGCUACAACAGAAGCUCGUACUAUGGAUCAACGCAACCUGCCUGUCAUGACUACCGCAAUACAGCUACGUAUGAGUACAUAAUCUCUACAUAUGGAGACAGACAUGUCUCUUUCUCAAGUUCUUGGCGACAUCGUAAGUUGGCAAUCUCCAGGGAACUAGCUAUUAUUUUUACAAAACAGGGUACUAGAUCUCAUGUCACGGUGCUGUAAGUUGCUGAUUUAUGCGUGACUAAUUAUGUCCACAUAAAGCAAUGAAGGGACGUUUUGAACCAUCAGCAUAAACCAAGUUUGCAAUUACUCAGCCGGGAAGCAAAAUCUUUCUCUCUGAAUAAAAGAAUGACCGUUCCUGGUGGGGUUUGCGGAUGAAGGAUGCAGUGGCAAACGGUUUAUCAUGGGAUGCAAAGUGCUAUGCAAUACAUUGGGAAGCUUAUUCAUGUAUAAGGAAGCUCUGACAUCAAGAAAGUUCAUUGAAAAGGAAUAGUGAACUUGGGCUCCUGCCUGUCAGCGAGCAGAAAUAUUUUGUCUCUCUGAAUCUCUGACCCCGUUGAGAGUGCACACAGGCUUGACAGCAGUCGCGUCGCAGGGCUAAUGAAAGUUCAGGACACGCCACGCUCGCCCUGUGACAUGAACUGAAUUAUCAGGGAGUGUUCGGAGGAAGGGGCGGGAGCUUGAAACCCGGCACGGGCGUGACGGAAUUGCCUUCCUCCCCACCAGCGUCCCGACUUCUUAACUUGCCUGGCGUAAUGUGUAACAAAUAUAAAGAUGAACUUGUGCUCACUUACAGAGAUUGCAUCACCGUUCAGUUUCCUUUUUUUUGUGAGAAUACUUUCUGUAGCUACUUUCAGUUGUGAGAAUGUUUCCUCCUUCAGUAUUUA